RNAcentral lists this ribosomal RNA (496 nucleotides) under uncultured bacterium. RNAcentral's name for it is "partial 16S ribosomal RNA". It matches the Rfam family "Bacterial small subunit ribosomal RNA", at positions 28 to 506 of the family's 1533-position model. The record is from RNAcentral.
GACGAACGCUGGCGGCGUGCCUAAUACAUGCAAGUUGAGCGCUGAAGGUUGGUACUUGUACCAACUGGAUGAGCAGCGAACGGGUGAGUAACGCGUGGGGAAUCUGCCUUUGAGCGGGGGACAACAUUUGGAAACGAAUGCUAAUACCGCAUAAAAACUUUAAACACAAGUUUUAAGUUUGAAAGAUGCAAUUGCAUCACUCAAAGAUGAUCCCGCGUUGUAUUAGCUAGUUGGUGAGGUAAAGGCUCACCAAGGCGAUGAUACAUAGCCGACCUGAGAGGGUGAUCGGCCACAUUGGGACUGAGACACGGCCCAAACUCCUACGGGAGGCAGCAGUAGGGAAUCUUCGGCAAUGGACGAAAGUCUGACCGAGCAACGCCGCGUGAGUGAAGAAGGUGUUCGGAUCGUAAAACUCUGUUGGUAGAGAAGAACGUUGGUGAGAGUGGAAAGCUCAUCAAGUGACGGUAACUAACCAGAAAGGGACGGCUAACUACGU